GAUGAACGCUGGCGGCGUGCCUAAUACAUGCAAGUCGAGCGAACAGACGAGGAGCUUGCUCCUCUGACGUUAGCGGCGGACGGGUGAGUAACACGUGGAUAACCUACCUAUAAGACUGGGAUAACUUCGGGAAACCGGAGCUAAUACCGGAUAAUAUAUUGAACCGCAUGGUUCAAUAGUGAAAAACGGUUUUGCUGUCACUUAUAGAUGGAUCCGCGCCGCAUUAGCUAGUUGGUAAGGUAACGGCUUACCAAGGCAACGAUGCGUAGCCGACCUGAGAGGGUGAUCGGCCACACUGGAACUGAGACACGGUCCAGACUCCUACGGGAGGCAGCAGUAGGGAAUCUUCCGCAAUGGGCGAAAGCCUGACGGAGCAACGCCGCGUGAGUGAUGAAGGUCUUCGGAUCGUAAAACUCUGUUAUUAGGGAAGAACAAAUGUGUAAGUAACUAUGCAUGUCUUGACGGUACCUAAUCAGAAAGCCACGGCUAACUACGUG
This 497-nucleotide ribosomal RNA is filed under the name uncultured bacterium. RNAcentral's name for it is "partial 16S ribosomal RNA". It matches the Rfam family "Bacterial small subunit ribosomal RNA", at positions 28 to 507 of the family's 1533-position model. The record is from RNAcentral.